GGUCGGGUGGCCUAAUGGCUAAGGCAUUGAUUUCCGGUGUCAAAGAUUGCGGGUUCGAGUCCCGUCCUGAUCG
Xylariales sp. No.14919 is the source of this 73-nucleotide non-coding RNA. The record is from the annotation of a GenBank genome assembly. Lineage: Eukaryota; Fungi; Ascomycota; Sordariomycetes; Xylariales.